AACGAACGCUGGCGGCGUGCCUCAUACAUGCAAGUCGAGCGAGAAAGUCCGCAAGGAUGAGUACAGCGGCGCACGGGUGAGUAACACGUGGGCAAUCUACCUUCGAGUGGGGAAUAACCCGGGGAAACCCGGGCUAAUACCAAAUAUGCCUACGAGGUCCUCGGAUCUUGUGGGGAAAGACGGCCUCUCCUUGGAAGCUGUUGCUCGAAGAUGAGCCCGCGGCCCAUUAGCUAGUUGGUGAGGUAACGGCUCACCAAGGCCGAGAUGGGUAGCUGGUCUGAGAGGAUGACCAGCCACACUGGAACUGAGACACGGUCCAGACUCCUACGGGAGGCAGCAGUAGGGAAUUUUGCGCAAUGGGCGCAAGCCUGACGCAGCAACGCCGCGUGUGGGAUGAGGGCUUUCGGGUCGUAAACCACUGUCGGAGGGGAAGAAAAGCUAUGCGGCCAAUACCCGCGAAGCUUGACGGUACCCUCAAAGGAAGCACCGGCUAACUCCGUGCCAGCAGCCGCGGUAA
Molecule: ribosomal RNA, 517 nt
Filed under: uncultured bacterium
Lineage: Bacteria
Description: partial 16S ribosomal RNA
Rfam family: Bacterial small subunit ribosomal RNA
Source: RNAcentral